GUGGCUGUCUUUGGAAUGGGUUGCAUUUGUUACUAACGUCAAUGCAGCUCUCAGCAUCCACAUAAAUCAAUCAAGUGGCUCCUGCCGACAGGGCCUGUCCAGUUACCAGGUUUCUGUGCCGUGAUGCCAGACAUU
Non-coding RNA from Elgaria multicarinata webbii, 135 nucleotides. Lineage: Eukaryota; Metazoa; Chordata; Lepidosauria; Squamata; Anguidae. The record is from RefSeq and is a predicted model, not a curated record.